Molecule: ribosomal RNA, 253 nt
Filed under: uncultured bacterium
Lineage: Bacteria
Description: partial 16S ribosomal RNA
Rfam family: Bacterial small subunit ribosomal RNA
Source: RNAcentral
UACGUAGGGUCCGAGCGUUGUCCGGAAUUACUGGGCGUAAAGGGUGCGUAGGCGGUCGGGUAAGUCUGAUGUGAAAUCUCACAGCUUAACUGUGAAACUGCAUUGGAUACUAUCCGGCUAGAGGAAUGGAGGGGAGACUGGAAUACUUGGUGUAGCAGUGAAAUGCGUAGAUAUCAAGUGGAACACCAGUGGCGAAGGCGAGUCUCUGGACAUUUCCUGACGCUGAGGCACGAAAGCCAGGGGAGCAAACGGG